ACGAGAUGCCUCUCUGACUGGGUGAAUAGGACCUUAGACAAGCUCUAUUCUUCCUGGUCAGAGGGGCAUUUCUAUGUCACGACGCUCGCUCAGAACCCAAGCUCAUCGGUGAAUCGAG
This 118-nucleotide small RNA is filed under the name Microbacterium esteraromaticum. RNAcentral describes it as "Actinobacteria sRNA Ms_IGR-7". It matches the Rfam family "Actinobacteria sRNA Ms_IGR-7". Lineage: Bacteria; Bacillati; Actinomycetota; Actinomycetes; Micrococcales; Microbacteriaceae. The record is from Rfam by way of RNAcentral.